RNAcentral lists this ribosomal RNA (254 nucleotides) under uncultured bacterium. RNAcentral describes it as "partial 16S ribosomal RNA". It matches the Rfam family "Bacterial small subunit ribosomal RNA", at positions 524 to 776 of the family's 1533-position model. The record is from RNAcentral.
UACGUAGGGGGCAAGCGUUGUCCGGAAUCAUUGGGCGUAAAGCGCGUGUAGGCGGCUCGAUAAGUCUGCUGUGAAAGUUCAGGGCUCAACCCUGAAAUGCCGGUGGAAACUGUCGAGCUAGAGUCCGGAAGAGGCGAAGUGGAAUUCCUGGUGUAGCGGUGAAAUGCGCAGAUAUCAGGAGGAACACCAAUGGCGAAGGCAGCUCGCUGGGACGGUACUGACGCUGAGACGCGAAAGCGUGGGGAGCAAACAGG